Molecule: transfer RNA, 73 nt
Filed under: Serratia liquefaciens
Lineage: Bacteria; Pseudomonadati; Pseudomonadota; Gammaproteobacteria; Enterobacterales; Yersiniaceae
Description: tRNA-Met
Rfam family: tRNA
About the family: Transfer RNA (tRNA) molecules are approximately 80 nucleotides in length. Their secondary structure includes four short double-helical elements and three loops (D, anti-codon, and T loops).
Source: RNAcentral
CGCGGGGUGGAGCAGCCGGGUAGCUCGUCGGGCUCAUAACCCGAAGGUCGUCAGUUCAAAUCUGGCCCCCGCA